AGAGUUUGAUCCUGGCUCAGGACAAACGCUGGCGGCGUGCGUAACACAUGCAAGUCGAGCGGGCGCGGUCUUCGGAGCGCGUCAGCGGCGGACGGGUGAGUAACACGUGAGUCACCAACCCUCCAGUGGGGGAUACCCGGCGGAAACGCUGGUUAAUCCCGCAUACGCUCCCUUCGCGGGAGGAAAGCGGCAACGCGCUG
RNAcentral lists this ribosomal RNA (200 nucleotides) under uncultured bacterium. Its description in RNAcentral is "partial 16S ribosomal RNA". It matches the Rfam family "Bacterial small subunit ribosomal RNA", at positions 8 to 220 of the family's 1533-position model. The record is from RNAcentral.